This is a long non-coding RNA of Salvia hispanica, 286 nucleotides long. RefSeq lists it as uncharacterized. The record is from RefSeq and is a predicted model, not a curated record. NCBI's taxonomy places the organism in Eukaryota, Viridiplantae, Streptophyta, Magnoliopsida, Lamiales, Lamiaceae.
UAGCAUUUACCUACACUCCACCAUUCCUCUCUUGUCCCAUCCGAACCCCGUCCAACCCCAAGACCGGCCUACUCAGUAAUGUGACCAAGCUAAAGAACGAGCACCAUCAACAUCUUUUAAGCCUGAUAAUAUAGGUAUGAUUAUGAGGUGUGACUCACGGAAUAGCGAGAUACAGCGAGGAGGUUACAGCUAACUAACUAGACCGGCCGUGGAAGCUUCUAGAAGGAUGUUCUGUUUCUUCACUAGGGUAGAACUGGUUCCGGUUGUCUGCAAGACACUGGCCCCC